Molecule: long non-coding RNA, 1001 nt
Organism: Phacochoerus africanus (Common warthog)
Lineage: Eukaryota; Metazoa; Chordata; Mammalia; Artiodactyla; Suidae
Exons: 5
Source: RefSeq, a predicted model, not a curated record
GAUGCUAGCCAGGUUUGUUACUGCUGAGCCACAGUGGGAACUCCAGAAUGUAUGUUUUAUGCGAAGAGAAAUCUUAUUGAUCUUGGGAACAAAAAUCCUAUUUCCAAAAUCCAACGAAGUCUGUGGGCACACCACAUUUGCACACGUACACCAACACAAAGAGAAAAAAAUGUUAGUUCUAACAGUGACUGAAAAUAUCUCUGUUUCAGGCAGAGAGCAAGGAAGAGCAGUUUGUUCAUGGUCUUAGAAAAUCGAGAGAGUUGUCAUCACCCUAGAGAGUUCUUCCAGCAUCAAGAUGGCACAUCUGGAGUUUCAGCACCUCUCCAAAAGUGGUAUGACAUCUGAAUUGACCUGUUAGUUAUGAAUAGGCUUUCUACAGUGUUUUGAUGAAAGAAGUUGUGACCCUGGAGAAGGAAGAAGCCAUUUUUGUAAACAGCAAAAAACCUUCUUCAUCAGCUGUCACCAUCCAUGCAACCAGAUCUCCUGCCUUCCUGGAACUUCAUGCUUCUUCCUAACUCCGUGGAAACUUUGUGGAUCCAACACACCCUUGGAGUGGCCAUGUGUCUUGGAUUCCUGGUUUUUCAUCUUCUCCCCGUUGGUUUUCAUGGGUCUGCUGCUUUUCUCUGUGAGCGGUCUUCCCUCCUCGGGUCUGGGGGACUCUGGCCUCACUGGAAGUUGGCAGAACCUUGUCCAGAACUCUAUGGAGAUUUCGCCUCUCCAAUAAUGAGAUAAGUCUAUUUCUCCAAACCUUGAAUCUGGGCUGGGUCUGUGACUUUCCUUGGCAGAUGGAAGGCAGUAAAACAACUGUGUCUGAGCUAAGACCCUGGCCUCAGGAGACCUUGUGUGCUUCCCCUCUUUCUCUUGGAGCACUGCCAGGUGUCGUGGGAACAAGCCUGAACAGCCAGAUGGAAGAUAAAAUACUACGUGGACCAGAGCAGAGUCACUCCCAUUUCCCAAGCAUGGGCCCAGACAUGUGAAAGAGGUUAGCCAAGACCAGUCAA